ACUUUCCGGUUUUGGCGCUGCAUUCGCUUUACAACUUAAUUUCCGUGAGAGGAAUUCGGCCAUUUCUUCUCCGAGUGUAACCGGGUAUAGUCGCUGUGCUUGCGAAGCUGAGCAGUGACUAUACAAAAUGGUAAACGGACGAAUUCCGUCAGUCUUUUCGAAGACUUAUGUUACGCCCAGAAGACCUUAUGAAAAGGCUCGUUUAGAUCAAGAAUUACGUACUAUCGGUGAAUACGGUCUUCGUAAUAAACGCGAAGUAUGGAGAGUCAAAUAUACUUUGGCUAAUAUCAGAAAAGCUGCUCGUGAGCUGCUUACUCUUGAAGAAAAGGAUCCCAAACGUCUGUUCGAAGGAAAUGCUCUGUUGCGUCGUCUGGUAAGAAUUGGUGUAUUAGAUGAGAGUCGCAUGAAACUCGAUUAUGUCCUUGGCUUGAAGAUCGAAGAUUUCUUGGAGAGGCGUCUUCAAACUCAAGUAUUCAAAUUGGGACUUGCCAAGUCUAUUCAUCAUGCUCGUGUACUGAUUCGUCAACGUCAUAUUCGGUAUCCAAAGAGUUUACCCGGUUGAUAGUCCAAACAUAUUUAAAAAAUGUGAAUUUAAAUAUGGAUGAGCAAUUACACUGUUAACGUUGAAAGCUGUUUUUGUUUCAGACAGGCCACUUAAGUGUCAGGAAACUGGCACUUAACGUCUGUCAUUGUACUAACGGAUUUAUCCACAUUGAUAAUAAUUGAGUACGCAAACAGGUGGUGAACAUUCCAUCCUUCAUUGUGCGUUUAGAUUCGCAAAAGCACAUAGACUUCUCGCUGAAGUCUCCGUUCGGUGGUGGCAGACCUGGUCGUGUAAAGAGGAAGAAUUUGCGUAAGGGAAGUGGUGGAGCUGCC
RNA transcript from Nomia melanderi (Alkali bee), 876 nucleotides. It is a transcript of the gene named ribosomal protein S9, with no coding region annotated. NCBI's taxonomy places the organism in Eukaryota, Metazoa, Arthropoda, Insecta, Hymenoptera, Halictidae. The record is from RefSeq and is a predicted model, not a curated record.